This 437-nucleotide ribosomal RNA is filed under the name uncultured bacterium. RNAcentral describes it as "bacterial SSU rRNA". It matches the Rfam family "Bacterial small subunit ribosomal RNA", at positions 92 to 525 of the family's 1533-position model. The record is from RNAcentral.
CGAGUGGCGAACGGGUGAGUAAUACAUCGGAACGUGCCCGAGAGUGGGGGAUAACGAAGCGAAAGCUUUGCUAAUACCGCAUACGAUCUCAGGAUGAAAGCAGGGGACCGCAAGGCCUUGCGCUCACGGAGCGGCCGAUGGCAGAUUAGGUAGUUGGUGGGAUAAAAGCUUACCAAGCCGACGAUCUGUAGCUGGUCUGAGAGGACGACCAGCCACACUGGGACUGAGACACGGCCCAGACUCCUACGGGAGGCAGCAGUGGGGAAUUUUGGACAAUGGGCGCAAGCCUGAUCCAGCCAUGCCGCGUGCAGGAUGAAGGCCUUCGGGUUGUAAACUGCUUUUGUACGGAACGAAAAGACUCUGGUUAAUACCUGGGGUCCAUGACGGUACCGUAAGAAUAAGCACCGGCUAACUACGUGCCAGCAGCCGCGGUAAUA